This is an RNA transcript of Triticum dicoccoides, 2808 nucleotides long. RefSeq lists it as uncharacterized. NCBI's taxonomy places the organism in Eukaryota, Viridiplantae, Streptophyta, Magnoliopsida, Poales, Poaceae. The record is from RefSeq and is a predicted model, not a curated record. The transcript is spliced from 2 exons.
ACAUAUAUAUGAAGGCCUAACACACACGUGUGUAAAUUUUCAGGGCAAAAUAAGUUGAAAUGAGGGCUGUGCAAAAAAGACAAAUCUGAGGCUUUUUAACACAUGACACUAUUCAUCCUCCCGGACCAGAAAUUUGUCUUUUUUGUAUAGUUCACAUUUCAACAUUUUUCAUUCUGAAAUUUUACACAAAUAGGCAUAACAUACUUGUUUACUUGCACAAUUUUUUUCAGAUUUUUUUGAAACCAAAAAGUUUGAAUUUUGAUUUGUUUUCAAAAAAAGGCCUCCAUGGCUCCCGGGAGCCAAACGUCCGUUCUCCUUCUACACACAGCGCCGUAAGUGUUACUAGAUGCUUGCUUUUCAUGGGAUGAUCACGUUAGGAUUGCGGUCUAAGCUGCGGGUGCUCCUGUUUAAUCAUCUCUAGUUACCUGCUAGUGUCAAUUUUCAUACAGAUGUCAGAUCAACUAAUAUACCGCUAGAUGAAAAUUUUACCUCAAAGGUGUCUGAGUUUAGUGAUUCAAGGUCUGUAUCACUCGAUCAGACUCCCGCACGUACAUUUGGUUACUUGCAUACUUAGACCCGGAGUUCUACCCCGCUACUGAGAAGAGUCAUGUUUGUAGUUAUGCGUGUGAAGCUUCUUAUUAGAUAGAAGCUGAUUUCAUUAAUGACCCCGGUACCGAAUAGAACUUAUCUCAUUACUAUCUGGAACCACCACAUCAAGGAAGUCUCAUGGGAAUUAGGGAUUCUCAAGUCGUGCAAGAAGCAGCUGCUGAAGGAACUGAUGGUAUUGCAUCAAUAGCAUAAUCAUACUUGAAAACCAUACUACGAGAGGCUAACCAUGAAAGCGGAAGAAAUUGUUCAUCAUAGAAGUAUGAACAAUUUACAUCUCUUUCAUGGUUGGCCUCUCCUCCUUCGGUUCUCAAGCAUGAUUCUGCUAUUGAUGCGAUAUCAUCAGUUUCUUUGAGAUUUGCUUCUUCCACAACUUGAGAAUCCAUAAUUUCCAUGAGAACUCCCCGAUGAAGUGCUUCCAUGAAAUAAUGAGCCGAGUUAUGUUUUAUUUUAGGUCAUUAAUUAAUGAAAACUGGUUUGUUUCUAAUGAGAAGCUCCACAAGCAUAACUCCAAACUAUAAACGCAUCACUCCUCCCGGUCAGUCCAUACUCAUUGUUUAAGUAACCAAUCCUACCAUGCAUGUACAAUUGUCGCCACAGGAGUAUGUUAGAGUGAUACAGAUCUUAAAGCACCCAAGUUAGACACCUUUGUAGAAAAUUAUCAUCUAACAAUAUAUUGGCUGAUUUGACAUCCCUAUGGGAAAUUGGCAUUGUAGCGCCUAAGUGGAGAUAAGCAGGAGCAGUCGCAGUUUCUACGGCAAUUCUAACGUGAUCAUCCCAUGAAAGCAAGCACUUAGCACUCGCUUAAGUGUGUCAAGGACCUAGAGUGUUCCAUUAGAUAUGAACUCAUAGACCAGCAAUGGCACCACUGUUUCGAAACAACUACUCACAGACAAUUGUUCUGGACUGGCUUCCGAAGUCAAGAUAAAGUCUCAAACCUGGUGGAUACGGGCGUUCUCAGGCCAUUUCCAGUCCGAGCUGUCGUUGACUGUUGUCCUGCUAAUGGCCGAUGCAAUCUGUUCUCAGUGCCAUGUGGUCCUUCCUCUCGAUCUGGCGCACAGUGUCGCAGGAUUACCUCGCUGACAGGUGGUCCUUCCUUGGGCAUUGCAUGUGGUUGUGUGCGGCUGCGUGAGCACGGUUCAUACUUCCUCCGUUCCAAAAUUGAUGACUCAACUCUGUACUAACUUAAGUACAAAGUUGAGUCGUCUAUUUUGGAACGGAGGGAGUAUGUUUUAAGCGGUGGCUUCAUUUUGUUCCCCUCUGUGUAUCUCUGAUAGGUGGUCAUUUUCUUCGUGACCCGCAUGUCGAUCUUCUCAUCUGGUGUGUGCCCGCCGGCAGAUUGGGUGGCCUGUUGCUCGGUCAGGAUGAUAUGAGUAACUGCCAAAUCCCUUCUUUUCUAAAGCUUUAUUACCGCCAAGUUCAGUCGUGGUCAUUGUAUUGAUACAGUCCAGUGCACUGUAUGUACAUAUCUUUGGGUCUGGGCAUAAACAAUUCUUAUUCCAAGAUCAUUUCGUCUUCCUGAAACAAAUCCAUGCUCAUUGUACUUUGACAGAUAAAUUGUUUGAUCAUUUUGUGUUCAUCAAAUGUCACAAUACAACAAGAGAUUCAAGGGAAACAAGAUACAUGCAUGGGCUAUCUGAUGUGUACCAAGCUGAUGUGUACAGAUAAAUUCUUUUUCCAAUAUCCUCACAGAAGACAGCAAAAAAGCUCUAUCUAUGCCUUUUGGGAACUUCUAUGCCUACUGAAUAUCCUCGCGAGACUGACGGACAUACUGACUGAAUUCAGCUCUAUUUCAGGCCAAUCGGUAGGGCGCUUAGUCAAGGGCUGGCCAUAGGCUAAAUGCAUAUGUUGGUCUACUAUGAUGAUGCGCCCAUGGUAAACUGCUUCACAUCUUUUGCUUAUGUAGAAUGUUGUGUUUGUGUCAGCCGAAACUGAUGCAAAACCAUGUGUGUGCUUCGUGUCUGUAGUCAACCGAAAUUAGCUCUGUCGUGCCACUAGUGCAAUGCAAUUGUUAAUCUAUACCGACUUGUGGAAGUGUCACACCAGAAUUCCAGGAACAGAUAAAGUUACUGUGCCCUUAGCUUUAGUAACUCAAUCUCUUGAGCUUAAUUUGCCGGGUUUGUUUAUGAGCAGAUUUGGUUCCCUUUCUUGCAACUGGACCUACCUAGUUGCAUUCAAUUUAUAUCAUGACAAAAUUGCUUA